This 82-nucleotide transfer RNA is filed under the name Geobacillus zalihae. Its description in RNAcentral is "tRNA-Tyr". It matches the Rfam family "tRNA". From Rfam's summary of the family: Transfer RNA (tRNA) molecules are approximately 80 nucleotides in length. Their secondary structure includes four short double-helical elements and three loops (D, anti-codon, and T loops). RNAcentral also lists the same sequence under 1 other name. The record is from RNAcentral. Lineage: Bacteria; Bacillati; Bacillota; Bacilli; Caryophanales; Anoxybacillaceae.
GGAGGGGUAGCGAAGUGGCUAAACGCGGCGGACUGUAAAUCCGCUCCCUUUGGGUUCGGCGUUUCGAAUCCGUCCCCCUCCA